GCGAAAACUUUACAAUGCCGGCAACGGCGAUAAGGGGACCUCGAGUGCCAGGUUACAAAUCUGGCUGUCGUGAUGCCUAAAAAGCAUUGCAUAGCAAGGGCCGGGCAAGACCGGUGCCAGCCGCCGCGGUAACACCGGCGGCUCGAGUGGUAACCGUUAUUAUUGGGUCUAAAGGGUCUGUAGCCGGCCGGAUAAGUCUCUUGGGAAAUCCAGCAGCUUAACUGUUGGGCUUUCAGGAGAUACUGUCUGGCUCGAGGCCGGGAGAGGUGAGAGGUACUUCAGGGGUAGGGGUGAAAUCUUGUAAUCCUUGAAGGACCACCAGUGGCGAAGGCGUCUCACCAGAACGGACCUGACGGCAAGGGACGAAAGCUAGGGGCACGAACA
Molecule: ribosomal RNA, 384 nt
Filed under: uncultured prokaryote
Description: bacterial SSU rRNA
Rfam family: Archaeal small subunit ribosomal RNA
Source: RNAcentral